Molecule: ribosomal RNA, 508 nt
Filed under: uncultured Glomeromycotina
Lineage: Eukaryota; Fungi; Glomeromycota
Description: partial small subunit ribosomal RNA
Rfam family: Eukaryotic small subunit ribosomal RNA
Source: RNAcentral
CCAAUAGCGUAUAUUAAGUUGCUGCGGUUAAAAAGCUCGUAGUUGAAUUUCGGGAUUGAUGCAUCGGUCGUGCCUUAAGUGGUAUGAACUGGUGUGGUCAAUUUCUUACCUUCUGGUGAAUUGUGAUGUCCUCCUUAAUUGGGUGUUUCAAUGAACUAGGACUUUUUACUUUGAAAAAAUUAGAGUGUUUAAAGCAGGCAUUAUUUGCUUGAAUACAUUAGCAUGGAAUAAUAAAAUAGGACAAUGAUUCUAUUUUGUUGGUUUCUAGGAUCAUUGUAAUGAUUAAUAGGGAUAGUUGGGGGCAUUAGUAUUCAAUUGUCAGAGGUGAAAUUCUUGGAUUAAUUGAAGACUAACUACUGCGAAAGCAUUUGCCAAGGAUAUUUUCAUUAAUCAAGAACGAAAGUUAGGGGAUCGAAGACGAUUAGGUACGUCGUAGUCUUAACCAUAAACUAUGCGGACUAGGAAUCAGACAACGUUAAAUUUUUAAUGACUUGUUUGGCACCUUACG